Molecule: ribosomal RNA, 578 nt
Filed under: uncultured bacterium
Lineage: Bacteria
Description: partial 16S ribosomal RNA
Rfam family: Bacterial small subunit ribosomal RNA
Source: RNAcentral
UGGGGAAUUUUGGACAAUGGGCGAAAGCCUGAUCCAGCAAUGCCGCGUGUGUGAAGAAGGCCUUCGGGUUGUAAAGCACUUUUGUCCGGAAAGAAAUCCUUGGCUCUAAUACAGUCGGGGGAUGACGGUACCGGAAGAAUAAGCACCGGCUAACUACGUGCCAGCAGCCGCGGUAAUACGUAGGGUGCAAGCGUUAAUCGGAAUUACUGGGCGUAAAGCGUGCGCAGGCGGUUUGCUAAGACCGAUGUGAAAUCCCCGGGCUCAACCUGGGAACUGCAUUGGUGACUGGCAGGCUAGAGUAUGGCAGAGGGGGGUAGAAUUCCACGUGUAGCAGUGAAAUGCGUAGAGAUGUGGAGGAAUACCGAUGGCGAAGGCAGCCCCCUGGGCAAUACUGACGCUCAUGCACGAAAGCGUGGGGAGCAAACAGGAUUAGAUACCCUGGUAGUCCACGCCCUAAACGAUGUCAACUAGUUGUUGGGGAUUCAUUUCCUUAGUAACGUAGCUAACGCGUGAAGUUGACCGCCUGGGGAGUACGGUCGCAAGAUUAAAACUUAAAUGAAUUGACGGGGUCAUAGCUG